RNAcentral lists this ribosomal RNA (2905 nucleotides) under Klebsiella aerogenes. RNAcentral's name for it is "23S ribosomal RNA". It matches the Rfam family "Bacterial large subunit ribosomal RNA". The record is from RNAcentral. Lineage: Bacteria; Pseudomonadati; Pseudomonadota; Gammaproteobacteria; Enterobacterales; Enterobacteriaceae.
GGUUAAGCGACUAAGCGUACACGGUGGAUGCCCUGGCAGUCAGAGGCGAUGAAGGACGUGCUAAUCUGCGAAAAGCGUCGGUAAGGUGAUAUGAACCGUUACAGCCGGCGAUGUCCGAAUGGGGAAACCCAGUGUGAUUCGUCACACUAUCGUUAACUGAAUACAUAGGUUAACGAGGCGAACCGGGGGAACUGAAACAUCUAAGUACCCCGAGGAAAAGAAAUCAACCGAGAUUCCCCCAGUAGCGGCGAGCGAACGGGGAGCAGCCCAGAGUCUGAAUCAGCUUGUGUGUUAGUGGAACGGUCUGGAAAGUCCGACGGUACAGGGUGAUAGUCCCGUACACCAAAAUGCACAGGCUGUGAACUCGAAGAGUAGGGCGGGACACGUGGUAUCCUGUCUGAAUAUGGGGGGACCAUCCUCCAAGGCUAAAUACUCCUGACUGACCGAUAGUGAACCAGUACCGUGAGGGAAAGGCGAAAAGAACCCCGGCGAGGGGAGUGAAAAAGAACCUGAAACCGUGUACGUACAAGCAGUGGGAGCACCUUCGGGUGUGACUGCGUACCUUUUGUAUAAUGGGUCAGCGACUUAUAUUCUGUAGCAAGGUUAACCGUAUAGGGGAGCCGCAGGGAAACCGAGUCUUAACUGGGCGUUAAGUUGCAGGGUAUAGACCCGAAACCCGGUGAUCUAGCCAUGGGCAGGUUGAAGGUUGGGUAACACUAACUGGAGGACCGAACCGACUAAUGUUGAAAAAUUAGCGGAUGACUUGUGGCUGGGGGUGAAAGGCCAAUCAAACCGGGAGAUAGCUGGUUCUCCCCGAAAGCUAUUUAGGUAGCGCCUCGUGAACUCAUCUUCGGGGGUAGAGCACUGUUUCGGCUAGGGGGUCAUCCCGACUUACCAACCCGAUGCAAACUACGAAUACCGAAGAAUGUUAUCACGGGAGACACACGGCGGGUGCUAACGUCCGUCGUGAAGAGGGAAACAACCCAGACCGCCAGCUAAGGUCCCAAAGUCACAGUUAAGUGGGAAACGAUGUGGGAAGGCACAGACAGCCAGGAUGUUGGCUUAGAAGCAGCCAUCAUUUAAAGAAAGCGUAAUAGCUCACUGGUCGAGUCGGCCUGCGCGGAAGAUGUAACGGGGCUAAACUGUGCACCGAAGCUGCGGCAGCGACACUAUGUGUUGUUGGGUAGGGGAGCGUUCUGUAAGCCUGCGAAGGUGGCCUGUGAGGGUUGCUGGAGGUAUCAGAAGUGCGAAUGCUGACAUAAGUAACGAUAAUGCGGGUGAAAAGCCCGCACGCCGGAAGACCAAGGGUUCCUGUCCAACGUUAAUCGGGGCAGGGUGAGUCGACCCCUAAGGCGAGGCCGAAAGGCGUAGUCGAUGGGAAACAGGUUAAUAUUCCUGUACUUGGUGUUACUGCGAAGGGGGGACGGAGAAGGCUAUGUUAGCCGGGCGACGGUUGUCCCGGUUUAAGCAUGUAGGCGGAGGUUCCAGGUAAAUCCGGUACCUUUUUAACGCUGAGGUGUGAUGACGAGGCACUACGGUGCUGAAGUAACAAAUGCCCUGCUUCCAGGAAAAGCCUCUAAGCAUCAGGUAACAUUGAAUCGUACCCCAAACCGACACAGGUGGUCAGGUAGAGAAUACCAAGGCGCUUGAGAGAACUCGGGUGAAGGAACUAGGCAAAAUGGUGCCGUAACUUCGGGAGAAGGCACGCUGAUAUGUAGGUGAAGCCCCUGCGGGUGGAGCUGAAAUCAGUCGAAGAUACCAGCUGGCUGCAACUGUUUAUUAAAAACACAGCACUGUGCAAACACGAAAGUGGACGUAUACGGUGUGACGCCUGCCCGGUGCCGGAAGGUUAAUUGAUGGGGUUAUCCGUAAGGAGAAGCUCUUGAUCGAAGCCCCGGUAAACGGCGGCCGUAACUAUAACGGUCCUAAGGUAGCGAAAUUCCUUGUCGGGUAAGUUCCGACCUGCACGAAUGGCGUAAUGAUGGCCAGGCUGUCUCCACCCGAGACUCAGUGAAAUUGAACUCGCUGUGAAGAUGCAGUGUACCCGCGGCAAGACGGAAAGACCCCGUGAACCUUUACUAUAGCUUGACACUGAACAUUGAGCCUUGAUGUGUAGGAUAGGUGGGAGGCUUUGAAGCGUGGACGCCAGUCUGCGUGGAGCCAACCUUGAAAUACCACCCUUUAAUGUUUGAUGUUCUAACGUUGGCCCCUGACCGGGGUUGCGGACAGUGUCUGGUGGGUAGUUUGACUGGGGCGGUCUCCUCCCAAAGAGUAACGGAGGAGCACGAAGGUUAGCUAAUCCUGGUCGGACAUCAGGAGGUUAGUGCAAUGGCAUAAGCUAGCUUGACUGCGAGCGUGACGGCGCGAGCAGGUGCGAAAGCAGGUCAUAGUGAUCCGGUGGUUCUGAAUGGAAGGGCCAUCGCUCAACGGAUAAAAGGUACUCCGGGGAUAACAGGCUGAUACCGCCCAAGAGUUCAUAUCGACGGCGGUGUUUGGCACCUCGAUGUCGGCUCAUCACAUCCUGGGGCUGAAGUAGGUCCCAAGGGUAUGGCUGUUCGCCAUUUAAAGUGGUACGCGAGCUGGGUUUAGAACGUCGUGAGACAGUUCGGUCCCUAUCUGCCGUGGGCGCUGGAGAAUUGAGGGGGGCUGCUCCUAGUACGAGAGGACCGGAGUGGACGCAUCACUGGUGUUCGGGUUGUCAUGCCAAUGGCAUUGCCCGGUAGCUAAAUGCGGAAGAGAUAAGUGCUGAAAGCAUCUAAGCACGAAACUUGCCCCGAGAUGAGUUCUCCCUGACUCCUUGAGAGUCCUGAAGGAACGUUAAAGACGAUGACGUUGAUAGGUCGGGUGUGUAAGCGUAGCGAUACGUUGAGCUAACCGAUACUAAUGAACCGUGAGGCUUAACCUU